RNAcentral lists this ribosomal RNA (253 nucleotides) under uncultured bacterium. Its description in RNAcentral is "partial 16S ribosomal RNA". It matches the Rfam family "Bacterial small subunit ribosomal RNA", at positions 524 to 776 of the family's 1533-position model. The record is from RNAcentral.
GACAGAGGAUGCAAACGUUGCUCGGAAUUACUGGGCGUAAAGCGCGUGUAGGUGGUUCGGUAAGUCAGGUGUGAAAUCCCGGGGCUCAACCCCGGAAGGGCAUUUGAUACUGCCAAACUUGAGUACUGGAGAGGAGAGUGGAAUUCCCGGUGUAGAGGUGAAAUUCGUAGAUAUCGGGAGGAACACCAGUGGCGAAGGCGACUCUCUGGACAGAUACUGACACUGAGACGCGAAAGCGUGGGGAGCAAACAGG